This is a long non-coding RNA of Mustela erminea (ermine), 3225 nucleotides long. RefSeq lists it as uncharacterized. The transcript is spliced from 3 exons. NCBI's taxonomy places the organism in Eukaryota, Metazoa, Chordata, Mammalia, Carnivora, Mustelidae. The record is from RefSeq and is a predicted model, not a curated record.
GAGCCACCCAGGUGCCCCAAGGAGCUCAAAAGUUUUAGCAACAACAGCUUCCCACAAUAGCCUCCCAGGAUGCGAAUAUUAGAUGCUUUGCUCUCACCUCUUCCGGGGGGUGUGUACAGAACCAAAAGAUCUGGGGUUGGUAUUUCCUAAAAGAUUCUCCCCCACUUAUUCUGGCCACUGACAGCAGACUCCUUGCUGGUUCUCAAUCAGGCCAAGUGCACUCCUGCCUCAGGGCUUUGCACCUGCUCUUGCCUCCCUCUGGAACACUCUAUCCCAGACACUUGUACCACUCACAUGCUUAGUCUAUUCUGAGGUCACCUUCCCCAACCACCCAAUAUAAAACAUCACCCCUCUUCCUCUCUUUCUCUGGUUUAUCUUGUUUUAUUUCCCUUAUAUCUCCUCUCACUACAUGCUGGCACAUGGUUUUUUAAUUGUCAGACCCACCUGCUCAUCUGUAAGCUCCAUGAGGGCAGAGAGCUCUGGCUGCUUUUUUCACAUCAGGACCUGGAAGAGCACUUGGCAUGGGCAUUGACAGACGAGUGCUAUCUGCAUCCAUAACCCGCUGUCCUUGUUUCGCUUUCCGGAAGAUGGAUUCCUGGCUUGGCUUCGAACUCUUUGACUUAGAGGGGAUGGAGGAGCAGAAACAGCAAAGGCUGUUGAGAAUUUAGUCUUCCCAAUGGCUUGGCAGGGUGAAGAGGCAAAAGGGUGGGAAGAGAAAAAAAGUCUGAGGAUAUCCCUGAAUGCCUACUCCAUGCCAAGGGCUCUGCGAGGCACCAGGCUUGCCAGCAUCUAUGUGCCAACGACAGCAAGAGGCCACAUUCCUAAAGAGACGUUGGAAAGAGCCCCCAGUUGGGAAUCAGAAGAUGUGACUUUGGAGGAGGUCUCUCUCAUGCCAGCCAGGCCAUCUUGACCAGCUGCUUCAUUUCCCUGACUCUCUGAACGCCCUGUUGAAAGGGGAGGAUGACCCUCACCCUGCCUUCCCGGGGAUUCUAACAAGGAUCAAACAAUGUACGUGCCUGCAGAGGGUUUUGACAACAGUGAAAUACUUCUGCUAAGAUGAGGCAACAGUGGGAGCAAAGGACACUGAAGCACUCCCCCACUCCUGAUGUGGACUGCAUGUUAAUAGUGCCGAGAGGGAGCGACAGAGAAGACUCCUGGAGAGGCCUGCUGGACCUCCAAGCAGGGCAGCCAGGAGUCACAGGACCUGGCUUGACCCCCAUGCUACCGCUCGCUAGCAGGGUGACCUGCAGCAGGCGACUUAGCAUCAGCAGGAAGUCAUAUACACGAAGUGUCACAACAGUGCCCGGUGUAUGAGGACCCCUAGAAAGUAAAGCCACUGGUUCCAGGGGCCAGUCAUGGUCGUAUUUCUGAGAGGAUCCAGCUCACAGAGCCUACCUUACUGGCCACUGAGGUAUAGGAGAGAUUUUCAAUUCAUCCAUUCCUCCGAUGGACCUGACCUUUCCUGGGCACCACACGCUCCUGGGCCGCCCAACAUUUCCUUGUAGGCAAGCUCCCCAAGGAAGCUGACUGGAACCAGCUGCUUGCCCGAUAAGCAGAGUUUCCUGGCAAGAGAGAGCAGAGAAAUGAUCACUUGUGUCUGAGAGCGGGUGCCUUAUCAGAAGGCCUGUGACAGCCACCUGCCUUGACACCUGCAUGAGGUUUGGGUGAGCCGUUCGUCUGCAGCCAGAGCCUUUCUCCUGCGGUACCAACGCUGCCACAUUGCAACACUCUGUCCUUCCUUUCCUGUGCUGCAUUCUGCUGAGUUUCCUCUUAUUUCUUUGAAUAAGUUCAGGCCCUUGAUUUCACUUGCUCCUCGUCUGGCCUAGGACAUCUGCUUCUGGCCUAGGACAUCCUCUGGCUUUUGAGAUAUGCCUCUCCACCCUUCUGUCAUCCUUUGUGUCCUUACUCUCCGGGUGAAUUGUGUAAAACUCGCCUCCUUGGGGUCCCAGUUCCCUGGAGACAUGUUGCAGUGUCCACGCCUCCCAAUCUACGUGACUGCUUAGCAGGCACAGGCUCCUAGAAGCAGGGUUGUAUUUAUAGAAGUCCCUGUUUAGAAACUGCCCAUCAUUUCUGCACUUUACAAAGGGGACUCUGAGAGCCUGACAGAGUUAAUUACUUCUUUUAGGAGGCAGGAAUCUGUGUCUGUUUCAUUCACUGGUAUAUCCCCAGUGCCAGGACAGUGCCCGGCAUACAGUAGGCACUCAAUCAUAGCUCCCAAACAAAUAAAAUCCCCUUCUCAAGAAAGCACGUUAUGUGAGAAUCCGUUCUUUGGGUGGCAGCAGAAGACAGCAUGCCUUGGUUUCCAACUGGAUAGAUCAUCUUUACCCACAUGGGGCUCAUGAGGCCCUCAUUGCAUCUUCCCACACAGCCCACUGAUCUCAGGACCUCCUGUGUGAAAGCUGUUCCCAUCCCACCAUUUCUCAGCUCAGCUCCUUAGACGACUCCCCACUGCUUUUGAAAUUAAGUAUAGAGCUCUCUCUUGGGCCGUCAAGGCCUCAGAUCUCCACCUGACUGAGGCCUUCAAACUCAAGCUCCAGUUGUUCCCCAGGAGUUGCUCUUGGUUGCAUUUCAAUGACAUUGCUGAAUGUUUUCCAGACUUUCCUCCAGACCUUUCCGUUUUCAUCCCUUUCUUCCCUCCUUUUGGGACAACCGCCCCAGAAAAAUGAUGUUCAAGGAGUCUUGAAAUCUGUGAUUCCUCUGUCAGCUGGAAUCACUUAGAGUUUUUAAGACCCAUCUUGCGCUUUCAAGACGCAUCUUGAACAUCACUUUGUUUAUAAAAUCUCUAACUGGAUGAGGUCCCUUCUGCCUCUUCUCCUCUAGCAUCUGCAUCAGCACCCCUCCUUUGUUUUUUCUCCACUUUUCCAUGUGUUUCCAUAACUCCCUCAUCUGCUCCCACCCGUGUAUGACUCAAAGUUCUUGGAGGACGAGGACUUGGUCUUACUUCUGUUUCCUUUCCAGUACUGUGUACGUGACGCUCUCUCAGGACGUACAUGAAUCAGAGAACUACCGGAUCAAGUAGCAAUUCUGUAAACUUCCUCUACACUCUAUAAUUCUUGUUUUUCAUUUCUUGCUGGGUGGCAUGGACCUUACAAACAGAAUGAUUUUUGUUGCUAUCCACAGAAUCCCAUUUCGGCAUUAUUUGCUUAAGUUGCUGAAAUAAAAAAGCCAGCACGUCUCCAAUCACUUUAACAUGUGACAAUUCUUGCUGUGUCUGAAUACCUGGAA